This 540-nucleotide ribosomal RNA is filed under the name Sordariomycetes sp. RNAcentral describes it as "LSU rRNA". It matches the Rfam family "Eukaryotic large subunit ribosomal RNA", at positions 84 to 647 of the family's 3401-position model. The record is from RNAcentral. Lineage: Eukaryota; Fungi; Ascomycota; Sordariomycetes.
UAACGGCGAGUGAAGCGGCAACAGCUCAAAUUUGAAAUCUGGCCCUCGCGGUCCGAGUUGUAAUUUGUAGAGGAUGCUUUGGGCGCGGCGCCUUCCGAGUUCCCUGGAACGGGACGCCAGAGAGGGUGAGAGCCCCGUACGGUUGGACGCCUAGCCUAUGUAUAGCUCCUUCGACGAGUCGAGUAGUUUGGGAAUGCUGCUCUAAAUGGGAGGUAAAUUUCUUCUAAAGCUAAAUACCGGCCAGAGACCGAUAGCGCACAAGUAGAGUGAUCGAAAGAUGAAAAGCACUUUGAAAAGAGGGUUAAAUAGCACGUGAAAUUGUUGAAAGGGAAGCGUUUGCGACCAGACCUUCUCCGGGGGGAUCAUCCGGUGUUCUCACCGGUGCACUCCCCUCGGUCUAGGCCAGCAUCGGUUUCCUUAGGGGGAUAAAGGCCUGGGGAACGUAGCUCCUUCGGGAGUGUUAUAGCCCCUUGCGUAAUACCCCUCGGGGGACCGAGGACCGCGCUUCGGCAAGGAUGCUGGCGUAAUGGUCGUCAACGA